Molecule: transfer RNA, 88 nt
Filed under: Candidatus Krumholzibacteriia bacterium
Lineage: Bacteria; Candidatus Krumholzibacteriota; Candidatus Krumholzibacteriia
Also listed under: 1 other name
Description: tRNA-Leu
Rfam family: tRNA
About the family: Transfer RNA (tRNA) molecules are approximately 80 nucleotides in length.
Source: RNAcentral
GCCGGGAUGGCGAAACUGGUAGACGCGGGGGACUUAAAAUCCCCUGGGGCGCUGCCUCGUGCCGGUUCGAAUCCGGCUCCCGGCACCA